UACAGAGGCCUCGAGCGUUGUUCGGAAUUACUGGGCGUAAAGGGCAUGUAGGUGGUGACGUAAGUCAGAUGUGAAAGCCCCGGGCUUAACCUGGGAAGUGCAUUUGAUACUGCGUUGCUGGAGUGCGAGAGAGGAAAGCGGAAUUCCAGGUGUAGGGGUGAAAUCCGUAGAUAUCGGGAGGAACACCAGUGGCGAAGGCGACUUCCUGGCCUGUUCUUGACGCUGAGGCGCGAAAGCUAGGGGAGCAAACGGG
This 253-nucleotide ribosomal RNA is filed under the name uncultured bacterium. Its description in RNAcentral is "partial 16S ribosomal RNA". It matches the Rfam family "Bacterial small subunit ribosomal RNA", at positions 524 to 776 of the family's 1533-position model. The record is from RNAcentral.